CCUACGGGUGGCAGCAGUGGGGGAUAUUGCACAAUGGGGGGAACCCUGAUGCAGCAACGCCGCGUGGGUGAAGAAGCAUCUCGGUGCGUAAAGCUCUGUCAGCAGGGAAGAAAAUGACGGUACCUGAGUAAGAAGCCCCGGCUAACUACGUGCCAGCAGCCGCGGUAAUACGUAGGGGGCAAGCGUUAUCCGGAUUUACUGGGUGUAAAGGGGGCGUAGACGGUGAUGCAAGUCAGGAGUGAAAGCCCGGGGCUCAACCCCGGGACUGCUUUUGGAACUGCGUGGCUGGAGUGCAGGAGAGGCAGGCGGAAUUCCUGGUGUAGCGGUGAAAUGCGUAGAUAUUAGGAGGAACACCGGUGGCGAAGGCGGCCUGCUGGACUGCAACUGACGUUGAGGCCCGAAGGCGUGGGGAGCAAACAGGAUUAGAUACCCCUGUAGUC
Molecule: ribosomal RNA, 440 nt
Filed under: uncultured bacterium
Lineage: Bacteria
Description: partial 16S ribosomal RNA
Rfam family: Bacterial small subunit ribosomal RNA
Source: RNAcentral